CCCAUAACUUCUAACAGCAGUAAUGUACACCCCUUCUAACAACUUAUUAUCAAUCUUCUGCCUCGCUUCUUCGAUGACGCCUUCCAUUUCAUUGAACUCCCCAUAACAACCAAGCUUUUCGACCAUACAUUUAUAGGUAGUCAAAUUAUGGUUAAACCCAUCUUCCUUUUUCACUGAAUUGAAUAUUUCUAGUGCCCUUAAUAACCAUACAUUUAUAGGUAGACAAACUAUGGUUAAACCCAUCUUCCUUUUUCACUGAAUUGAAUAUUUCUAGUGCCCUUAAUGGGUUCUUUUGACAUUUUAAUACAGCAGCCACAUGUUUAGGAAGCACAGCAGCACUCAUUCGUAUAAUAUCUGUAAAUAAAUCCAAG
Molecule: long non-coding RNA, 371 nt
Filed under: Nicotiana benthamiana
Lineage: Eukaryota; Viridiplantae; Streptophyta; Magnoliopsida; Solanales; Solanaceae
Description: long non-coding RNA (NBEN_LNC006957)
Source: RNAcentral